Molecule: ribosomal RNA, 167 nt
Filed under: uncultured bacterium
Lineage: Bacteria
Description: partial 16S ribosomal RNA
Rfam family: Bacterial small subunit ribosomal RNA
Source: RNAcentral
UACGGGAGGCAGCAGUAGGGAAUCUUGCACAAUGGGCGAAAGCCUGAUGCAGCGACGCCGCGUGGGGGAUGAAGGCCUUCGGGUUGUAAACCCCUUUCAGUAGGGACGAAAAUGACGGUACCUACAGAAGAAGCUCCGGCCAACUACGUGCCAGCAGCCGCGGUAAU